Molecule: non-coding RNA, 295 nt
Organism: Meleagris gallopavo (turkey)
Lineage: Eukaryota; Metazoa; Chordata; Aves; Galliformes; Phasianidae
Source: RefSeq, a predicted model, not a curated record
CAGGAAAUGACACUGAGGGGGGUUGGACGAGCUGCCCCCGCACUGGGAUAUAGGAUGUGGGACACUGGGACCCCCACACCACGCAAGCUGUAAUUUCACUUUCUGCCUCAGUUUCCCUAUCAGAAAGAAGAAACAUGACCAGCUACAGGGUGAGGUUAUCUGAGUCCUGUAGCACAGAAGGAUGCCCUAUUUUGGGGAGGCACUUUGCACAUCCACGGUGAUCAGAUAAGUAUUGGUAUCAGUUCCUUUUUUCCUCUCUUGUCUCUAAAAACAAAAACCAAAACAGGAGGAAAAA